RNAcentral lists this ribosomal RNA (619 nucleotides) under Bacillus subtilis. RNAcentral describes it as "partial 16S ribosomal RNA". The record is from RNAcentral. Lineage: Bacteria; Bacillati; Bacillota; Bacilli; Caryophanales; Bacillaceae.
CAUGCGACCGCCGCACGGAUUAUGUACGUUCAGCUCGCUUACCUAAUUCGUCGAACGAGAAUACUUCAAUCGCCGCCUGCCCACUCAUUGUGCACCCAUUGGACGGGUAUUCUGACCCUAUUGAGGCCCUUUGGCCCCGAUUAUGGCCUAUUGUAAAACUUGGCGUACCAAGCUUUAACUUUCCGCCGAAGCCGACAGUGAAUACCUACCUGGGCGCAGCGUAAUCGAUCAACCACUCCAUUGCCGAGUGGUUCCGUUGCUACGCAUCGGCUGGACUCUCCCACUAGCCGGUGUGACCCUGACUCUGUGCCGGGUCUGAGGAUGCCCUCCGUCGUCAUCCCUUAGAAGGCGUUACCUGCUUUCAGACUGCCUCGUUGCGGCGCACUCACUACUUCCGAAAGCCCAGCAUUUUGAGACAACAAUCCCUUCUUGUUCACGAUCAACUUAUUCGACCGUGGAACUGCCAUGGAUUGGUCUUUCGGUGCCGAUUGAUGCACGGUCGUCGGCGCCAUUAUGCAUCCACCGUUCGCAAUAGGCCUUAAUAACCCGCAUUUCGCGCGCGUCCACCAAAGAAUUCAGACUACACUUUCGGGUGCCGAGUUGGCACCUCCCAGUAACC